AAUAAUGUUCAGUCAAUGGGUGUUAAAAGAUAAUAAAGACUUUUAACUUAAAAGGGAAGUUCGGUGUAAAUCCGACACGGUCGCGCCACUGUUAUGGGGAGCUUCAUAUCGCAAUCCACUGUUUCAAGCAUGAAAUGGGAAGGGAUAUGAAGUGAGGAACCUAAGUCAGGAGACCUGCCUAUUGUGUGCACUUAUU
This 196-nucleotide non-coding RNA is filed under the name Metabacillus litoralis. Lineage: Bacteria; Bacillati; Bacillota; Bacilli; Caryophanales; Bacillaceae. The record is from RNAcentral.